ACCGGCGCUGCGCCACCACCCACACACCCCCACCCACCCCACCGCGCCACACCACAUCACGCUCGCAACUCGCGAGCCAGAGACUCUGAGGCCGCCCGCCGACGCCGACGCCGACCGCCGCACCGCCCGUCCGUUUCCCCUCUAUGGUCUCCGCCAACCAGCCGCCGCCCGACGCGGCCGGGGCGGCCUCCGGGGAGGACGCCAGCAAGAAGGUGCGGAAGCCGUACACCAUCACCAAGUCGCGCGAGAGCUGGACGGAGCAGGAGCACGACAAGUUCCUUGAGGCCCUCCAGCUCUUUGAUCGUGAUUGGAAAAAGAUAGAAGCUUUUGUUGGAUCAAAGACUGUUAUUCAGAUUAGGAGCCACGCACAGAAGUAUUUUCUGAAGGUUCAGAAAAAUGGAACAAGUGAGCAUGUCCCGCCUCCGCGACCAAAGCGUAAAGCUGCUCAUCCAUACCCUCAGAAGGCCUCCAAAAAUGAACCAGGCUAUACCCUGAAGACAGAAUCAUCUUCCAUGCUUAGGAACUCAGGCAUGAAUGCAACUGUUUCAUCAUGGACACACAAUUCAAUCCCACCAAUUGUAGCCUCAUCCAUGGUGAAAGAAGAUUUAGGUGCUGGAGCAAUGGGCCCCAAUAAUUUUUGUUCUAGCAGUACUGAAGGCCCUCCAAGGGCAUGGCAACCUGGUGAAACCAACGAUCAGAUUAAUCAAGUUCUGUCACUCCGCCUUAUGCCAGAUUUUGCACAAGUGUAUAGCUUCCUGGGCAGCGUUUUUGAUCCAAGCACAAGUGGCCAUUUACAGAAACUAAAGGAGAUGAAUCCAAUUGAUGUUGAGACGGCACUGUUGUUGAUGAGAAAUCUCUCCAUCAAUCUGACUAGUCCUGAUUUUGAAGAUCAACAGGGUUUGCUCAUUUGCCAUGGUUUCUGGUACUGCCUGUGCAGAAUGGCUGGAAUGUACGGGCAGCUAUCAGAAAAUGUGUGUAAAGUCACCAUAUUUUAGCAAACUUUUGAAACUGUCAGAAAUUUUGAGGAAGUUGCUAUCUUCAUAUAGUUCCACAUCUGAUGGGAUUGAGCUAGGAAGCACCAGAAGCUCAGUUCUUGCUGAUAGACCGUUGAGCGCUCCAUUCAUGAUUAAGAGCGAAUAGUGGUGAGAAAGUGAGAAGUCUCUUCCAUGGCCAAAUCGGCUAAAAGGUGCUGAGAAGUCUCUCCACCUAUAAUUUCGGCUCGUCAGUCACUGUGGGCUUGGUGAAUCACUAAGGAAGGCACUUGCACCAUUGUAUUCCUAGCUGGCUUCAAGCCUUCGACUGUAGAACGUGUAAGGGUGCAACCAUGUACAGCAGGCUUGCACGGGUGAGAUCUGUCUAUAGCAGUAAUGCGGUAUAGCCUAAUGUGUAUAUAUGUUAGCCCUGAAGCGUGUAGCUUUCCUCCCCCCAAUACCUUUGUCGCCUUGGCUCGCAAAUCUUGCUUCAGUUAAAAGGCUGUUGUUAGUAAUGGGAAAUGGAAAGGAAAUUUUGAGUGAUGCUGGUUGCUCCCCUUUUCCUCCAUUAAGCUCAGCUGGUGAUAGCAUUUUCGUUUCUGUCAUCUGGCACGGCAGGGCACCACCCCAAGUGACCAUGGCAUUGCAAGAUGCAGAAUGCUCCAUCUGAUAAGAUGUGUAAAGUGCUUUCAGUUGAGGUGAUUCUUGUGCUGUAAAGCGGCUUAUCUUCCACUAUGUAAAUCAUGCUCAUGCUCGAUGUAUCAUGUAUGAUUCUUGGAAAGUCUGGAUGCCAAUAUGACUUGUGCACUUUCCAUAUAAGUUAUCUAUGGUGAAAAAGACCAAAUGUGCUAUUGUAA
Oryza brachyantha (malo sina) is the source of this 1828-nucleotide RNA transcript. It is a transcript of the gene named protein REVEILLE 6, with no coding region annotated. The record is from RefSeq and is a predicted model, not a curated record. The transcript has 10 exons. NCBI's taxonomy places the organism in Eukaryota, Viridiplantae, Streptophyta, Magnoliopsida, Poales, Poaceae.